Molecule: ribosomal RNA, 253 nt
Filed under: uncultured bacterium
Lineage: Bacteria
Description: partial 16S ribosomal RNA
Rfam family: Bacterial small subunit ribosomal RNA
Source: RNAcentral
UACGGGGGGGGCAAGCGUUGUUCGGAAUUACUGGGCGUAAAGGGCUCGUAGGCGGCCAACUAAGUCGGAUGUGAAAUCCCCAAGCUUAACUUGGGAACUGCAUCCGAUACUGGAUGGCUUGAAUCCGGGAGAGGGAUGCAGAAUUCCAGGUGUAGCGGUGAAAUGCGUAGAUAUCUGGAGGAAUACCGGAGGCGAAGGCGGCAUCCUGGACCGGCAUUGACGCUGAGGAGCGAAAGCUAGGGGAGCAAACGGG